AGUGAACGCUGGCGGCGUGCUUAACACAUGCAAGUCGAACGAGAACGGAUUAUAGCUUGCUAUAAUUGUCAGCUAAGUGGCGCACGGGUGAGUAAUAUAUAGGUAACGUGCCCUAGAGAAGAGGAUAACAGUUGGAAACGAUUGCUAAGACUCUAUAUGCCUUUAAGACUUAAGUCUGCAAGGGAAAUAUUUAUAGCUCUAGGAUCGGCCUGUACAGUAUCAGUUAGUUGGUGAGGUAAUGGCUCACCAAGACAAUGACGCUUAACUGGUUUGAGAGGAUGAUCAGUCACACUGGAACUGAGACACGGUCCAGACUCCUACGGGAGGCAGCAGUGGGGAAUAUUGCACAAUGGACGAAAGUCUGAUGCAGCAACGCCGCGUGGAGGAUGACACAUUUCGGUGCGUAAACUCCUUUUAUAUAGGAAGAU
RNAcentral lists this ribosomal RNA (428 nucleotides) under uncultured bacterium. RNAcentral's name for it is "bacterial SSU rRNA". It matches the Rfam family "Bacterial small subunit ribosomal RNA", at positions 29 to 449 of the family's 1533-position model. The record is from RNAcentral.